This is a non-coding RNA of Podarcis lilfordi (Lilford's wall lizard), 646 nucleotides long. Lineage: Eukaryota; Metazoa; Chordata; Lepidosauria; Squamata; Lacertidae. The record is from the annotation of a GenBank genome assembly.
GGCCUUUUUCUUUUUCAUUAAGGAUUGCUUAAGGGCUGAAAAAUUAUUUUCUUUUUCUUAAAGUAUGUUCAGUUCAUGGCAUUUUGCACACUGUACCCAAUCUGGCAACCCUGGAGGCUUUCCUUCCUUUAAAGCUGCACUGCAGUCAGGUAAGCAUGGGGCUGAGGUGGUACUCUACAGUUACCACUGAGUGGUGGGUGUGGUGGAAUGCAAAGGUAUUCCAUAUAUGCUUACCAGAGGGAGAUGCAAAGCAGCAGCUGAGUUAGGGACUGUUCCCUGCCUUUGUUCUCUGGAAGCCGCCCAGAGUAGCUGGGGCAACCCAGCCAGAUGAGUGGCAGAUGCUGAUGCGAAUGAUUAUUAUUUUGUAUUUCUGUCUGGUAAGGAUAUGGGUUCUUCUUUGGUUGCCCCUUAGUACUGCUUCAGCUCCCUUGUUUACCUUGCUGCUGCUGCUGCAGUAGCUGUAAUGGAAAAGAUUCUCCACUCUAGCUCUUCUUCUUUGGCGAUCACUCGUAGCUGAGUAAGAUUGUCUUCCAUGAAUAUGGUCACAACAGUGAGUCCAUAAGUGGCUGUGGAGGCCAAUUCUGGAUGCACAUGUCCUUCCACAGGGGGGACAUAGGUUUCCGGACGGGAGUUGAUCAUGGUGAGG